RNAcentral lists this ribosomal RNA (465 nucleotides) under uncultured bacterium. Its description in RNAcentral is "partial 16S ribosomal RNA". It matches the Rfam family "Bacterial small subunit ribosomal RNA", at positions 338 to 795 of the family's 1533-position model. The record is from RNAcentral.
CCUACGGGAGGCAGCAGUGGGGAAUAUUGCGCAAUGGGCGAAAGCCUGACGCAGCGACGCCGCGUGAGGGAUGAAGGUCUUCGGAUCGUAAACCUCUGUCAGCAGGGAAGAAAGGUCACUGUGCUAAUCAGCAGUGCAUUGACGGUACCUGCAAAGGAAGCACCGGCUAACUCCGUGCCAGCAGCCGCGGUAAUACGGCGGGUGCGAGCGUUAAUCGGAAUUACUGGGCGUAAAGCGCUCGUAGGCGGUAUGUCAAGUCAAGGGUGAAAUCCCCGCGCUCAACGGGGGAACUGCCUUUGAAACUGGCAAACUGGAGUGUGUGAGAGGAUAGUGGAAUUCCAGGUGUAGGAGUGAAAUCCGUAGAUAUCUGGAGGAACAUCAGUGGCGAAGGCGACUAUCUGGCACAUAACUGACGCUGAGGAGCGAAAGCGUGGGUAGCAAACAGGAUUAGAUACCCCUGUAGUC